RNAcentral lists this ribosomal RNA (427 nucleotides) under uncultured bacterium. Its description in RNAcentral is "partial 16S ribosomal RNA". It matches the Rfam family "Bacterial small subunit ribosomal RNA", at positions 355 to 774 of the family's 1533-position model. The record is from RNAcentral.
UGGGGAAUAUUGGACAAUGGGCGAAAGCCUGAUCCAGCCAUGCCGCGUGUGUGAAGAAGGUCUUCGGAUUGUAAAGCACUUUAAGUUGGGAGGAAGGGCAUUAACCUAAUACGUUAGUGUUUUGACGUUACCGACAGAAUAAGCACCGGCUAACUCUGUGCCAGCAGCCGCGGUAAUACAGAGGGUGCAAGCGUUAAUCGGAAUUACUGGGCGUAAAGCGCGCGUAGGUGCUUUGUUAAGUUGGAUGUGAAAUCCCCGGGCUCAACCUGGGAACUGCAUUCAAAACUGACUGACUAGAGUAUGGUAGAGGGUGGUGGAAUUUCCUGUGUAGCGGUGAAAUGCGUAGAUAUAGGAAGGAACACCAGUGGCGAAGGCGACCACCUGGACUAAUACUGACACUGAGGUGCGAAAGCGUGGGGAGCAAACA